GAGCGUCGCUGUGGAGGGUCUAUAUACUGCUGCAUCUACCGAGCGUCGCUGUGUGUACUGCUGCAUCUACCGAGCCGUCGCUGUGUGUACUGCUGCAUCUACCGAGCGUCGCUGUGGAGGGUCUGUAUACUGCUGCAUCUACCGAGCGUCGCUGUGUGUACUGCUGCAUCUACCGAGCCGUCGCUGUGUGUACUGCUGCAUCUACCGAGCGUCGCUGUGGAGGGUCUGUAUACUGCUGCAUCUACCGAGCGUCGCUGUGUGUACUGCUGCAUCUACCGAGCCGUCGCUGUGUGUACUGCUGCAUCUACCGAGCGUCGC
Molecule: long non-coding RNA, 318 nt
Organism: Bufo bufo (common toad)
Lineage: Eukaryota; Metazoa; Chordata; Amphibia; Anura; Bufonidae
Exons: 4
Source: RefSeq, a predicted model, not a curated record